GAGGAUGUAGCUCAGUGGUAGCAUGUAUGCUUUGCAUGUAUGAGGUCCUGGGUUCACUCCCCAGCAUCUCCA
Molecule: transfer RNA, 72 nt
Filed under: Alligator mississippiensis (American alligator)
Lineage: Eukaryota; Metazoa; Chordata; Crocodylia; Alligatoridae
Rfam family: tRNA
About the family: Transfer RNA (tRNA) molecules are approximately 80 nucleotides in length. Their secondary structure includes four short double-helical elements and three loops (D, anti-codon, and T loops). Further hydrogen bonds mediate the characteristic L-shaped molecular structure. tRNAs have two regions of fundamental functional importance: the anti-codon, which is responsible for specific mRNA codon recognition, and the 3' end, to which the tRNAs corresponding amino acid is attached (by aminoacyl-tRNA synthetases). tRNAs cope with the degeneracy of the genetic code in two manners: having more than one tRNA (with a specific anti-codon) for a particular amino acid; and 'wobble' base-pairing, i.e. permitting non-standard base-pairing at the 3rd anti-codon position.
Source: Rfam by way of RNAcentral